GGACAGCACAGCAGAGAACCUGCCUGGGGUGCCGGAGCUGUGAGUUCAAUCCCAGCCAGGUCUCCUAAAUGGGCAGCCAUGUCUUGUUGUCAGCAGGGCUUGGGCUGUGCCAUGACAUUAUUUCUUCUUGCAGCCUGUGCCAGAGAAUAAUCUGAGGCUGAGUAAUGGGAAGUAGCUGGUAAGGUAGGCACACUCUAGCUUAGUGAAACUGCUCCUUCC
Non-coding RNA from Pelobates cultripes (western spadefoot toad), 219 nucleotides. The record is from the annotation of a GenBank genome assembly. Lineage: Eukaryota; Metazoa; Chordata; Amphibia; Anura; Pelobatidae.